Long non-coding RNA from Tigriopus californicus, 1233 nucleotides. RefSeq lists it as uncharacterized. The record is from RefSeq and is a predicted model, not a curated record. Lineage: Eukaryota; Metazoa; Arthropoda; Copepoda; Harpacticoida; Harpacticidae. The transcript has 3 exons.
AGCAAUCCCCCAGAAGUGUCACUUAACGAAGGAAAGUAGUUCGAUUUUAUAGAGUAGCACUUGAGAUACUACUUCAAAAAGGGGAUUGAAGUAUUUUCCUUAUGUGCAAAAGAAACCGAGUCCCUUCUUCUGAGGAGUACAUAAGAACAAUCUCAAAGGACGUCUUCUGUAUACUGUAGUUCGAGUUCUUUCCUUACCUGGUGCCUUUAGUCGUUUUGUCGAUUGCAAUCCCACUAACUCCGGGGGGAUCCCCUAUCGCCAAUUCUUUUCAAUCUUUAUGUAUCCGAUCUGCCCAAAGCCCUCACCCAUCAAGGCCCCACCAUCAACCAAUUUCCGGUACAAUCUCUACAAUACGCAGACGACCUGGUUCUCUUGGCUGAAUCAGCCGUGGAAUUGCAAAAUGCCAUCAAAGUGCUCCACGGCUACUGCCAAGAAAAUAGCCUUCAAGUCAAUACCAUCAAGACGAAAACCAUGGUUUUCCAUAAAGGUCGUCUGCCUCCCACCUCCUUCCAUACCAACAAUAGUGCGAUUGAAAUCCUCAAGUAUUUCAACUAUGUCGGUUUCACCUUCUCCAUCCGACUCUCCUUCACCAAUCACCUGAACUCUGCAAUAACCAAGGCCAAGGCCAGGAUCAGAUACAUGUGCAACAGGCUACCCAUGAAGAAUCUCCCCUCCCAAUAGUUCUUCAACUCUUCCUGACCUACAUCACUCCAAUUUUCCUCAAUUUUCACCCGUGGCUCCCAAACUCCGCCCAACCCGCCCUCAAAUCCGCCGAUGCUACAUUCACCAAAUUCCUCAAGCGAUACCUUUCCGUGCUCCAAUAUGCCAUCAAUGCAUGGACGCAUUUUCAAUGCGAAACCGAGCCCCUCAUCAUUGGGUUGGCCAGGUCAGUGUCCAACAGUGUUGGUAACGUGAACUUUCCGGAGGUGAUGUCCGGACACAAAUUGUCCUUCCCGGUCAAGGAUUUGUUAACACCCUAUUGUCCUUGGUCCAACAUCCCUUCAGAGUAUUGGCGGUCACGCACCUUUGUCCGGCUCCCGGCCAAAUGCCAUCAACGACAGGAGCUGAAACAGGAUCUGUUCAAUCUGACCCAACCAUUCUUCUGCAAUAACCAAGAUUUUCAUCAUUUACCUCUACCCACCUGUUUUUGUACUGUCUGCAAUUCCCCUCUUCACUUUUUUCAUGUCCAUUGAACAAUGCUAGACAUAAUCACUGUAAAUAAAAUUUUCUAGU